Molecule: non-coding RNA, 297 nt
Organism: Equus caballus (horse)
Lineage: Eukaryota; Metazoa; Chordata; Mammalia; Perissodactyla; Equidae
Source: RefSeq, a predicted model, not a curated record
GAAAGCAGAUGUGCAAGGGCAGAGGGAGAGGCAGGGAGGGCGUGGAGGAUGGCAGGGUGGGUGGGAGCACAGUGUUUUCUGAAUACUCAAUUUAUUGGAUGGAGAUUUUAUUCAGACCUUCAAAGCGAUGAAUCUUGCAGAGAAUCUACAAAAACUGUAUCAGAGUGAUGGGGUCUAUACUGCAGGGGGCACGAUUUAGAGGGCAUUCUCACUGGGGUGCGGAUACUUGCAUGUGUAAUUUUAUUAAUAACUAAUAAAAAGGCUAGGACCAAGCCUAUUUAUUUGUUAUUAAUUUAC